This 368-nucleotide ribosomal RNA is filed under the name uncultured organism. Its description in RNAcentral is "bacterial SSU rRNA". It matches the Rfam family "Bacterial small subunit ribosomal RNA", at positions 526 to 896 of the family's 1533-position model. The record is from RNAcentral.
CGGAGGGUGCAAGCGUUAUCCGGAUUUACUGGGUUUAAAGGGUGCGUAGGUGGGUCUGUAAGUCAGUGGUGAAAUCUCCGGGCUUAACCCGGAAACUGCCAUUGAUACUAUAGGUCUUGAAUACUCUGGAGGUAAGCGGAAUAUGUCAUGUAGCGGUGAAAUGCUUAGAUAUGACAUAGAACACCAAUUGCGAAGGCAGCUUACUACGGGGUCAUUGACACUGAGGCACGAAAGCGUGGGGAUCAAACAGGAUUAGAUACCCUGGUAGUCCACGCCCUAAACGAUGGAUACUCGACAUCAGCGAUACACUGUUGGUGUCUGAGCGAAAGCAUUAAGUAUCCCACCUGGGAAGUACGAUCGCAAGAUUG